CGUCCGGCUGGCGGGCCGGCGCCGCGGCACCGGCCGGUUCCGCCGGGGGGAUUUCGAGAUCCGUGGACGGUUCGUGGUCCGUUUCGCGCGC
This 91-nucleotide transfer RNA is filed under the name candidate division BRC1 bacterium ADurb.BinA292. RNAcentral's name for it is "tRNA-Asn". The record is from RNAcentral. Lineage: Bacteria; Candidatus Sumerlaeota.